The sequence is an unclassified non-coding RNA, 299 nucleotides long. The stretch from base 1 to 46 matches the Rfam family "Eukaryotic small subunit ribosomal RNA", at positions 1786 to 1831 of the family's 1831-position model.
AAGUCGUAACAAGGUUUCCGUAGGUGAACCUGCGGAAGGAUCAUUACAAAUCGGGGGAUGGUGGUGGUGGUUGGUGGUGGUGGUUGAGGGCUAGUUGAGGUAGAUUUGAAGAGUCUAUUUCGAUGAUCUCUACUCUACACCUGCUCCAUACUCCAUACAUUAGCACGAGGGUGGAGUAGUCGUGUGUUUCGAAAGAACCACAUGCUCUCAUUACACCCCCAUGUUUACGCAUGAUUGUUUGACAGAGUUAAGAUUUAUUAUAACGAAUACAACUUUUAACAACGGAUCUCUAGGCUCUU